CGAACGCUGGCGGCAUGCCGUAACACAUGCAAAGUCGAACGAAGCUUCGGGCUUAGUGGCGCACGGGUGCGUAACACGUGGGAAUCUGCCCUUCGGUUCGGAAUAACAGUUAGAAAUGACUGCUAAUACCGGAUGAUGACGAAAGUCCAAAGAUUUAUCGCCGAAGGAUGAGCCCGCGUAGGAUUAGGUAGUUGGUAGGGUAAUGGCCUACCAAGCCGACGAUCCCUUAGCUGGUCUGAGAGGAUGAUCAGCCACACUGGGACUGAGACACGGCCCAGACUCCUACGGGAGGCAGCAGUGGGGAAUAUUGGACAAUGGGCGAAAGCCUGAUCCAGCAAUGCCGCGUGAGUGAUGAAGGCCUUAGGGUUGUAAAGCUCUUUUACCAGGGAUGAUAAUGACAGUACCUGGAGAAUAAGCUCCGGCUAACUCCGUG
This 433-nucleotide ribosomal RNA is filed under the name uncultured bacterium. RNAcentral's name for it is "bacterial SSU rRNA". It matches the Rfam family "Bacterial small subunit ribosomal RNA", at positions 30 to 507 of the family's 1533-position model. The record is from RNAcentral.